AGACGUAGGGGGCAAGCGUUGUCCGGAAUUACUGGGUGUAAAGGGCGUGUAGGCGGGAAUGUAAGUCAGAUGUGAAAUACCGUGGCUUAACCACGGGGCUGCAUCUGAAACUAUGUUUCUUGAGUGUCGGAGAGGAAAGUGGAAUUCCCAGUGUAGCGGUGAAAUGCGUAGAUAUUGGGAGGAACACCAGUGGCGAAGGCGACUUACUGGUCCAUUACUGACGCUGAGGUGCGAAAGCGUGGGGAGC
RNAcentral lists this ribosomal RNA (247 nucleotides) under uncultured bacterium. RNAcentral describes it as "partial 16S ribosomal RNA". It matches the Rfam family "Bacterial small subunit ribosomal RNA", at positions 523 to 769 of the family's 1533-position model. The record is from RNAcentral.